This 424-nucleotide ribosomal RNA is filed under the name uncultured bacterium. Its description in RNAcentral is "bacterial SSU rRNA". It matches the Rfam family "Bacterial small subunit ribosomal RNA", at positions 358 to 773 of the family's 1533-position model. The record is from RNAcentral.
GGAAUCUUGCGCAAUGGGCGAAAGCCUGACGCAGCGACGCCGCGUGAGGAAUGAAGGCCUUCGGGUUGUAAACCUCUGUCAGGGGGGAAGAACCCGGAGUCGGUGAAUAACCGGCGCCGCUGACGGUACCCCCAGAGGAAGCACCGGCUAACUCCGUGGCAGCAGCCGCGGUAAGACGGAGGGUGCAAACGUUGUUCGGAAUCCCUGGGCGUAAAGGGCGCGUAGUCGGACUUGUAAGUCAGGAGUGAAAACUCGGGGCUCAACCUCGAGCCUGCUUCUGAAACUGCGAGUCUUGAGGACCGGAGAGGAAAGUGGAAUUCCUAGUGUAGCGGUGGAAUGCGUAGAUAUUAGGAAGAACACCAGUGGCGAAGGCGACUUUCUGGACGGUUCCUGACGCUGAGGCGCGAAAGCUAGGGGAGCAAAC